This 884-nucleotide ribosomal RNA is filed under the name Binatia bacterium. RNAcentral describes it as "partial 23S ribosomal RNA". It matches the Rfam family "Bacterial large subunit ribosomal RNA", at positions 202 to 1018 of the family's 2925-position model. The record is from RNAcentral. Lineage: Bacteria; Candidatus Binatota; Binatia (SeqCode).
CUAAGUACCUUCAGGAAAAGAAAGAAAAAUCGAUUUCCCCAGUAGUGGCGAGCGAAAAGGAAAGAGCCUAAACUGGCUAUAUGUAAUAACCCUUAUGUGUUGUAUGGUCAGGGUCGAGGGAGUUGCGAGGAGCGAGAUAAGGCUUGCUUAAAAAAACUGUUAUUUCUAGCUGAACAAGCAGGAAAGCUUGACUAUAAAGGGUGAUAGUCCCGUAAGUGAAAGGAAUAAAAGUUUUUUCUGUAAUUUCCCGAGUAAUGCCGGUCACGUGGAAACCGGCAUGAAUUAAGGAGGACCACCUCCUAAGGCUAAAUACUUUUGGUAACCGAUAGUGAACAAGUAGCGUGAGUGAACGAUGAAAAGAACCCCUUUUAGGGGAGUGAAAUAGAACCUGAAACCAUGUACUUACAAGCGGUGGAAGCACAAUAUUAAUUGAAUUUAUUUCUUUUAAUUCGUGUAACCGCGUGCCUUUUGUAUAAUGAACCGGCGAGUUGUUGUUUGUUGCAGGUUAAGCCUAUAAUGGGUGAAGCCAAAGCGAAAGCGAGUGCUAACUGCGCGAAUAAAUGUAGCAGAUAGCAGACCCGAAACCGAGUGAUCUACCCUUGGUCAGGAUGAAGUUCCGGUAAAACGGAAUGGAGGUCCGAACGCAUUUACGUUGAAAAGUGAUGCGAUGAACUGAGGGGAGGAGUAAAAGUCUAAUCAAACUCGGAGAUAGCUGGUUCUCCCCGAAAUAGCUUUAGGGCUAGCCUUAUGCAACCGUGUAGUAGGGGUAGAGAUACUGAUUGAGUAUUGGGGCCCACCAGGCUACCGAGCACAAUCAAACUCCGAAUACUACUGCAUUUGACAUAGGAGUCAGACUAUGGGGGAUAAGCUCCGUAGUCGAGAGG